Molecule: ribosomal RNA, 460 nt
Filed under: uncultured bacterium
Lineage: Bacteria
Description: partial 16S ribosomal RNA
Rfam family: Bacterial small subunit ribosomal RNA
Source: RNAcentral
CCUACGGGAGGCAGCAGUGAGGAAUAUUGGUCAAUGGACGAGAGUCUGAACCAGCCAAGUAGCGUGAAGGAUGACUGCCCUAUGGGUUGUAAACUUCUUUUAUAUGGGAAUAAAAUGUUCCACGUGUGGGAUUUUGUAUGUACCAUAUGACUAAGGAUCGGCUAACUCCGUGCCAGCAGCCGCGGUAAUACGGAGGAUCCGAGCGUUAUCCGGAUUUAUUGGGUUUAAAGGGAGCGUAGGUGGAUUGUUAAGUCAGUUGUGAAAGUUUGCGGCUCAACCGUAAAAUUGCAGUUGAAACUGGCAGUCUUGAGUACAGGAGAGGUGGGCGGAAUUCGUGGUGUAGCGGUGAAAUGCUUAGAUAUCACGAAGAACUCCGAUUGCGAAGGCAGUUCACUGGACUGCAACUGACACUGAGGCGCGAAAGUGUGGGUAUCAAACAGGAUUAGAUACCCGAGUAGUC